UACAGAGGGAGCAAGCGUUGUUCGGAAUUACUGGGCGUAAAGGGCGCGUAGGCGGCCUUCUAAGUCGAACGUGAAAUCCCCGGGCUCAACCCGGGAACUGCGUCCGAUACUGGAAGGCUUGAAUCCGGGAGAGGGAUGCGGAAUUCCAGGUGUAGCGGUGAAAUGCGUAGAUAUCUGGAGGAACACCGGUGGCGAAGGCGGCAUCCUGGACCGGCAUUGACGCUGAGGCGCGAAAGCCAGGGGAGCAAACGGG
RNAcentral lists this ribosomal RNA (253 nucleotides) under uncultured bacterium. RNAcentral describes it as "partial 16S ribosomal RNA". It matches the Rfam family "Bacterial small subunit ribosomal RNA", at positions 524 to 776 of the family's 1533-position model. The record is from RNAcentral.